RNAcentral lists this ribosomal RNA (2241 nucleotides) under Triticum aestivum (bread wheat). Its description in RNAcentral is "partial small subunit ribosomal RNA". Lineage: Eukaryota; Viridiplantae; Streptophyta; Magnoliopsida; Poales; Poaceae. The record is from RNAcentral.
AUGGACGACAAAGCGAUAGGUCGCCAGAAGUUGCUUGAUGUCGAGUUUAAAAAGUCUCCACAAUUGGCAGCCAGGUGGCUGGCCCGGUCAGCGCACACACUUUUGCAGAACCCCCUGCCGUUUUCUUUAAUCAACCUCAGCUACAGCCAUUUCGUGAUCCCGCCGGAGUUCGGCGGCAUUCCCGUGGCUGUCAGCCUUGACCUCCGGGGGAACGACCUCGCCGGCGUGAUCCCGCAGGUGGGCUCGCUCGUCAACCAGGGCCCCACCGCCUUCGACGACAACCCGAGGCUCUGCGGGUUUCCGCUCAAGAUCGAUGCUGCAGUGGCAGUGCCGGAGGACUGCUCGUCGGCCGCUUCCGAGGACUGGUUCCGGCAGGCGCGCCUCGCCGCCGUCAAAUGGAUCCUUGAAACUCGGGGCUGCUUCGGGUUCGGCCACCGCACGGCGUACCUGGCCAUCGCCUACUUCGACCGCUUCUUCCUCCGGCGACGUGUCGAUAGGGCGGCCAUGCCGUGGGCGGCGCGCCUCCUGUCCGUGGCCUGCGUCUCCGUGGCGGCCAAGAUGGAGGAGUACUGCGCGCCGGCGCUGUCGGAGCUCGACGCCGGCGGCGUCUACGAGUUCUGCUCCGCCUCCGUUCGCCGGAUGGAGCUGCUCGUGCUGUCCACGCUCAGCUGGCGCAUGGCCGCCGUUACGCCGUUCGACUACCUCCCUUGCUUCUCCUCCCGGGCUCCCGGCUCGACCGGCACGACGGCCGCGGCGGCGGCGGGCAUGACCCCGCCCGCGUCGCCCUCAAGUCCAUCGGCUCCAUCUUUGCCACAGCCGAAGGAGCAUGUACAUGCCUGCUACAGCAUGAUGGUUGGCGACUUGAAAAGCAGAAUGAGCCAUGGCAAGAGAUCAUUGCCACGUCCAGACUCCAAUGAAGUUGCCACCAGUACAUAUGAUUCUGUUCUUGUUGAUGAUGUUGCCGACACCGCCGCCUUCAUCGCAGCUGUGUCGGAGAUGAACAAGCAGAUCAGACUGGCAGCUGGAUGGCGGCAUCGUGUACAGGGUCGUCCCCGGCCGCGGCACCGACGCCCGACGGCUUCGCCAACUCCAUUACCGUUGUCGGUGAGGCUGUCCAUCGUUCAGGGCGCGGCGAGGGGACUGGCAUACCUGCACGAGUGCAGCUCUCGCCGGUACGUGCAUGGCUGCAUCAAGUCAUCCAAGAUCCUGCUCGAGGACGAGCUUCGUCUGCACGUUUCCAGCUUCGGCCUAACCCGCCUCGUCGCCGGCGCGCACAAGACGGCGCAGUUGAGGAAGCUCGGCAGCAGCGUGGCGUGCGCGCUCCGCAGCGGCGCCCUGUCGGCGCUGUCGUACCUGGCGCCGGAGCUGCGCGCGCCGGGGGGCACGGCCGCGGCGGUGACGCAGAAAACCGGGAAAAAGCCUUGGCUGGUGGCUUUCUUGGGGUACGUGCAACCCAAGUUUCUCUGCAUUGGCAGCCACUCCGACGACAUCUCCAGAGACGAGGAGGAGCUGGCGCUCCGUACCGCGCUCGAGCGCUCACAGGUAAGUUUUCAUAGUAAUCUGACGACCAGGAGUUCUCCUAUGAAUAGGCCCGCAUGCCUGCACGGUUGCACCACGGAGCUACCGAGCUUGUUUUGUAGCUUAACUGAUUCCAGAGUUGUUAUUUUCAGGAUCCUCAUCUUGGAGCAUUUCAUCUUGUGGCCCUCGGUGUUGAAGAAGAAUGGGAAAGCGCAACUCGAACAAUGUCAAGAAGAGCAUCUGGCAGCUCCUCUGCGGCUGUGGGUCGCCUCAGACAAGAAACUAAUUAAGAUCAGAAGAGCUCCUCUGUUGUUGUGGUUCACCAUAUGUGAAGUGGUGUGGUUGUGUCAUGCUAGCUUCUUCUGCAGCAAGGAGCAUGUAAACGCGAACACCAGUUGCAGCUUGAGGAGGAGAUCCGGCAAAGGCAGGCUGCUCGUGUUGCAGCCAACUUGCAUCCGAAUUCGCUGGAGCAGGAGGAGGAGGAAAAGGAGGUGGGGGGAGGAGGGUGAGCUGCAAUCGGAGGCGGAGCAGGACUCUCAGCCCAUGGAGGAGGUGGAUCCGAAGGAGGACGACGCGGCGGAGCCCGAGGAGGAGGCGGAGCCGACUGUGGGCUUCGGCAUGAAGGACGCCAUGGCGGAGUUCGAGGUCGCCCAGGCGGAGGAGAUGAAGAAGCAAACCGCCAUCCUCAAGUCCAUCCAGAAAGAGGCUUAUGUGGACUUGUGA